GGGGGGGGGGGGGGGGGGGGGGGGGAGGGGGGAGGCGGGGGGGGGCGCAGGGGGAGGUUGCUCGUACGGGUGGCGAGUGGCUGACGGUGGAGUAAUCCGUCGGGAUGGACUUUUUAGUGUGGUAUGACUUAGGGAAGCUUACGAGCAUACCUGCUCCGACCUACGUGUGAACGCAGGGACUCUUCUGACCUUGCACUAUUGCCUUAUCCGAUGUCUGAUUAGCUAGUUGGCGGGGUCAAGGCCCACCACGGCGACGAUCCGUAGCUGGUCUGAUAGGAUGAGCAGCAACACUGGAAUUGAGACAAGGUCCAGACUCCUACGGGAGGCAGCAGUGGGGAAUAUUGGACAAUGGGAGCAAGCCUGAUCCAGCCAUACCGCGUGGGUGAAGAAGGCCUUCGGGUUGUAAAGACCUUUUGUUGGGAAAGAAAAGCAGCAGGUUAAUACCCCGCUGUUCUGACGGUACCCAAAGAAUAAGCACCGGCUAACUUCGUG
RNAcentral lists this ribosomal RNA (492 nucleotides) under uncultured bacterium. RNAcentral describes it as "partial 16S ribosomal RNA". It matches the Rfam family "Bacterial small subunit ribosomal RNA", at positions 38 to 507 of the family's 1533-position model. The record is from RNAcentral.